Molecule: long non-coding RNA, 1285 nt
Organism: Platichthys flesus (European flounder)
Lineage: Eukaryota; Metazoa; Chordata; Actinopteri; Pleuronectiformes; Pleuronectidae
Exons: 2
Source: RefSeq, a predicted model, not a curated record
UGAUGCAAAUUUGCAGAACCCAGUGGUGCAGCUUUCCUGUCCAGGCCCUAAUCACCAUCCGACAGGACCAAAGCCGUACAUAUGGCGGCUGUUGCUGAGGGGUAGAGUGGUCGUCCUCCAACCUGAAGGUCGGCAGUUCGAUCACCAGUCUGACCCAUCUGCAUGCCGAAGUGUCCUGGGCAAGAUGCUGAACCCCGAAUGGCCCCCCAUAGAAUAACAAAGUGCUGCGAAUAGAUGCACUGUAUGAAUGUGUGUGUGUGUGUGUGUGUGUGUGAAUGGGUGAAUGUAGAACUGUACUGUAAAGAGCUUUGAGUGGUCAUCAAGAGAAGAAAAGUGCUAUAUAAAUACAAAGCCAUUUACCAUAUGGCAGCUUUAACAAUAACUGUUACUUGAUACUGUCCAAGUGGUUGGAGUCGUAGAGAAAAAACUCUGACAUUGCAGUUUCCUGUACAGUCCUGCUCCACAGUCCUUAAAAUCAUUCACAUCUGCCUUCUGGAAAAGCCUUGAAAACACAUUAAGGCUUAUUUCAUGUUGACCUGUCAGUACUUAUCCCUGUAAGCACAGUCCUGAAGUGCAGCCGGUCCACUUUGGAGCGUUCCAGCAGAUAACAUUGCAUACUACCCUUUGCCUGAUGUACUUCUGCACAUUGUCCCUCUCAAGACACAAGGGGCAAUUAGGAAGCAGUAGAGAAAGUAGCUUCUUAGAUGCCCAAUGAUUUGGUAAUGUAUGGUGAUGAUCGGUUGUGUGGGGUCAGUGGGUGUUUUUAGCCGACCCGCUAAGAUAUCCUGUGGGGCGUGUGUUAGGAUGGUGUGUGAAUCACCUCACCCCUGACAGGUUGACAGGAAGCUGGCCUGAAGUAUGGGAGAGUGACUGUAUUCGAAUAAGUCCGUGCCAGGACAUGUUGUUGAUUUGCCGGUGGAUCAUAGCAGAUCUUGCAGCUGAUUGGCCUGCCGCUUUGUAGCAGCCACAUCACAACUGUGCUCUUUGUGUGCCAUGUGCCUGGCUUCCCGUUCAGGAGUCAGUCGGGGACGACUGCAAUUGACUUUUCCCUUUUUUGUUAGUGAAGAAGUGUCGUUAUUGUAAUUACAUUUUUUGUUUGUUUGUUAUUUUGGCCUUUGUCCACCCUGAAGAAAAACAAAAAGACUGUUGAUAAAUAUAUUGGUUGAUAAUUCAAGAUUUGUUCCUCUGUGGUUACUUGUGACUUGGUGAAGAUGAUAAACUGGAAGUGGACUUGUAUCAAGGGAUAAAAUGGCAUUAAAUAAUAAAAGUCUCCAACCAUUUCAAA